Molecule: ribosomal RNA, 492 nt
Filed under: uncultured bacterium
Lineage: Bacteria
Description: partial 16S ribosomal RNA
Rfam family: Bacterial small subunit ribosomal RNA
Source: RNAcentral
AGUGAACGCUGGCGGUAGGCCUAACACAUGCAAGUCGAACGGCAGCACAGUAAGAGCUUGCUCUUACGGGUGGCGAGUGGCGGACGGGUGAGGAAUACAUCGGAAUCUACUUUUUCGUGGGGGAUAACGUAGGGAAACUUACGCUAAUACCGCAUACGACCUACGGGUGAAAGCAGGGGAUCUUCGGACCUUGCGCGAUUGAAUGAGCCGAUGUCGGAUUAGCUAGUUGGCGGGGUAAAGGCCCACCAAGGCGACGAUCCGUAGCUGGUCUGAGAGGAGGAUCAGCCACACUGGAACUGAGACACGGUCCAGACUCCUACGGGAGGCAGCAGUGGGGAAUAUUGGACAAUGGGCGCAAGCCUGAUCCAGCCAUACCGCGUGGGUGAAGAAGGCCUUCGGGUUGUAAAGCCCUUUCGUUGGGAAAGAAAAGCAGCAGGUUAAUACCCCGCUGUUCUGACGGUACCCAAAGAAUAAGCACCGGCUAACUUCGUG